Molecule: ribosomal RNA, 253 nt
Filed under: uncultured bacterium
Lineage: Bacteria
Description: partial 16S ribosomal RNA
Rfam family: Bacterial small subunit ribosomal RNA
Source: RNAcentral
UACAGAGGGUGCAAGCGUUAAUCGGAAUUACUGGGCGUAAAGCGCGCGUAGGCGGUCUGCUAAGUUGAAUGUGAAAUCCCCGGGCUCAACCUGGGAACUGCAUCCAAAACUGGCAGGCUAGAGUAUGGUAGAGGGUGGUGGAAUUUCCUGUGUAGCGGUGAAAUGCGUAGAUAUAGGGAGGAACAUCAGUGGCGAAGGCGACCACCUGGACUGAUACUGACACUGAGGUGCGAAAGCGUGGGGAGCAAACAGG